Molecule: ribosomal RNA, 506 nt
Filed under: uncultured bacterium
Lineage: Bacteria
Description: partial 16S ribosomal RNA
Rfam family: Bacterial small subunit ribosomal RNA
Source: RNAcentral
GAUGAACGCUAGCUACAGGCUUAACACAUGCAAGUCGAGGGGUAACGAGAGGAAAGCUUGCUUUCCUUGUCGACGACCGGCGCACGGGUGAGUAACGCGUAUCCAACCUGCCCCCAACUAGGGAAUAACCUUGCGAAAGUAAGACUAAUACCCUAUAAUUUCCUCAGAUGUCAUCUGACGAGGAAUAAAGAUUUAUCGGUUGUGGAUGGGGAUGCGUCUGAUUAGCUUGUUGGCGGGGUAACGGCCCACCGAGGCAACGAUCAGUAGGGGUUUUGAGAGGAAGGUCCCCCACAUUGGAACUGAGACACGGUCCAAACUCCUACGGGAGGCAGCAGUGAGGAAUAUUGGUCAAUGGGCGGAAGCCUGAACCAGCCAAGUAGCGUGCAGGAUGACGGCCCUAUGGGUUGUAAACUGCUUUUAUACAGGAAUAAAGUUAGCCACGUGUGGUUAUUUGUAGGUACUGUAUGAAUAAGGACCGGCUAAUUCCGUGCCAGCCGCCGCGGUAA